Molecule: long non-coding RNA, 583 nt
Organism: Alosa sapidissima (American shad)
Lineage: Eukaryota; Metazoa; Chordata; Actinopteri; Clupeiformes; Clupeidae
Exons: 4
Source: RefSeq, a predicted model, not a curated record
UCACACAGCCUGAUGCCCCCCCCUAUUCUGGUGAAGCGGUUUACUUUUAAGGUUGCCUGGGUUGAACAACAUUCCAGAACCGAAGAACAGAAGACAUGAUCAUCAAUUUCUGGAGGGCCCACACACUCAACACCCCGACUACCCAUCAAUGGUAAAGUGAAACAGAUGGUGGUGAGCAUAACUCAGGAGCUCCCCUUACUGACAGCAGGGUGCACUGGUACACCCUGGUAGCUGUUUUUUUUUGUGCUACUGUCACUGGUAUUUUUGUAUUAUCGAACCAGAACCAGACCUCAGCUUGCCCGUCUGAUGGCAGGAGGGACCAGAGUGGAACGGGAGAGUAGGGAGAAGGCUGCCAUGCAUUAUCAGAUCAAUGGACAAGCAGAGAGAGCGGGAGAACUGGUGGACACCCAACAAACACAUGACGUUUGGGGAACUUUCCCUAAAGGUUCAUUGAAGGUUUUUCUCUCCCAUGGAGUCUCCACUCUUCCAUGCAGAGAGCUAACCUGAAGUCUGCUCUAAGAGCUUAAAGAUGCUCGCCACUCUGGACUUUGAGACUCUGGAAAGCUCAUGUCAUCAACAGGCC